Molecule: ribosomal RNA, 405 nt
Filed under: uncultured bacterium
Lineage: Bacteria
Description: partial 16S ribosomal RNA
Rfam family: Bacterial small subunit ribosomal RNA
Source: RNAcentral
AUUGAACGCUGGCGGCAGGCUUAACACAUGCAAGUCGAACGCGUGGCGGACGGGUGAGUAAUGCUUGGGACUCUCGCAUAUGGAGGGGGAUAACUACGGGAAACUGUAGUAAAUACCGCGUACCAUAGGAUGAGCCCAAGUGGGAUUAGGUAGUUGGUGAGGUAAAGGCUCACCAAGCCGACGAUCCCUAGCUGGUCUGAGAGGAUGACCAGCCACACUGGGACUGAGACACGGCCCAGACUCCUACGGGAGGCAGCAGUGGGGAAUAUUGCGCAAUGGGGGAAAGCUGACGCAGCCAUGCCGCGUGAAUGAAGAAGGCCUUCGGGUUGUAAAGUUCUUUCGGUAGCGAGGCGUUAACUACAGAAGAAGCACCGGCUAACUCCGUGCCAGCAGCCGCGGUAAUUC